Molecule: ribosomal RNA, 121 nt
Filed under: Bifidobacterium breve
Lineage: Bacteria; Bacillati; Actinomycetota; Actinomycetes; Bifidobacteriales; Bifidobacteriaceae
Source: RNAcentral
UUUGCGGCGGCCAUGGCCCAGGUGAGACGCCCGGUCCCAUUCCGAACCCGGAAGCUAAGGCCUGGCACGGCGAUGGUACUGCACCCGACAGGGUGUGGGAGAGUAGCACGCCGCCGCAUCC